This 613-nucleotide long non-coding RNA is filed under the name Salmo salar (Atlantic salmon). RNAcentral describes it as "lncRNA (ENSSSAG00000096312.1, ENSSSAG00020073353.1, ENSSSAG00075065319.1)". Lineage: Eukaryota; Metazoa; Chordata; Actinopteri; Salmoniformes; Salmonidae. The record is from RNAcentral.
ACAUCUCCCAGUGAGCAAUGAGCUGAGCAAGUGGCGAUUGAAUAUGACGUUACGUUUUGUUCUAUAAAGGCCCUCCCCUUUCUUCGUCACGUCCUCUUUCAAUUUGGUGUCUUCGCUGUAGAGACACAUCUCCACAAGAUGAGAGCAAAGCUAACGUUUGCUAGCUUGACCACGUUGGCGAACUAGGUUUCACGGCCCAAUGGCGCACAAGUGGAGGAAGAAGCGUAUGCGCAGGCUGAAGCGUAAAAGGCGAAAGAUGAGGCAGAGGUCCAAGUAGACUGGCCCAUUCCCCUACUGCUGUGAUUGUUUUUCCCCACCCACUCCAAGCCCCCUGUUUGAAGCCAGCGGUCCAUGAUUUGCAAAGAGCUGAACCAUGGUUGUCUGAAGCCGGUCUCAUUGGUGUGAAGGACGGAUCCCGCAUACCCAGCCCUCUACUCUGCCAAUGGCACCUGGCUGUUGACUACUGCUAGAAUCUCUCCUGUUGUUGGACUCUGGCCUUUUACCACCUGCACAGCUGAUUUGUUGUGAAGACCAUAAUAAAUAUUUGGUUUACUAACUACAUUACUGUCUCUGUAAACAUUGAUUGAUGUUCAUAUCAAAGUUUAUUGGUCAC